This 619-nucleotide long non-coding RNA is filed under the name Panax ginseng (ginseng). RNAcentral describes it as "long non-coding RNA (PGIN_LNC005231)". The record is from RNAcentral. Lineage: Eukaryota; Viridiplantae; Streptophyta; Magnoliopsida; Apiales; Araliaceae.
UGAACUAUUAGCAGAGACACGAUGUGUGCUGAAUCCUAGAAAAGUUAUAAAAAGAAGAUAAGAAUGUAGAUCAUCAAAGAUGAUGAACGUAUUGAGUAAGACAUCUCCGUAUGUCAUGAAGCCAUAGAACGAUAAUGAAAGUAUCCGCUUAAACUUAGGUUAAGAGAAUACGAACCCUAAGAAGCAAAGUUAAGUAAACCAAUGCGUAAAGUCAAGUAUAUGACUAAUUGGUGUAUGUGUUAUUUCCUUAUGUGCUACAUAGGAAUUGGAAUGAGCAGUUCAGCGUAAACUAUAAGCUGUAGGCGUGCGUAAGGCAAGUUUCCUAACUUCAUUCAUAUUUUAAAUGAAUGCUAGUUUCUAAAACUUCUUAGAUGUUGAACUUGAGAAGUUCUGUUUAUGUGCGAAUGUGUAAUAUUUGUACAAGGUGGUAGAACGUAUGAGGCCUUGUGCCACAAUGUGAAUACUUCGAUGUUUCUAUGAGAUAAAAAGUUCUGUGAUUGAACUGUUCAAUAUGAGCAUGUUCUGUUUAUACAUGUACCGUUAUUGUUAAGUCUGUGCUAUAGAUUCUAGCCAAACAGAAUGUGUAUAAAAGAGAGUAGAGAAUGAAAGUAUUUCAAAG